This is a long non-coding RNA of Sander lucioperca (pikeperch), 341 nucleotides long. RefSeq lists it as uncharacterized. Lineage: Eukaryota; Metazoa; Chordata; Actinopteri; Perciformes; Percidae. The record is from RefSeq and is a predicted model, not a curated record. The transcript is spliced from 3 exons.
AUAUUGAUCUGUAGUUUUACCCACAUCUACUUUAUGAAUGAGUGAACAUGACAACAUUAAAAACAGACCCAGAGUUAAACUGUCACAUGUGUUUUAUUCAACAUGAUACACAAGUUACUCAUCAGGUAGUAACAGAUUACUCUGAUUCAUCAGUUGUAGUAAUAGAUUACUCUGAUUCAUCAGGUAGUAACAGAUUACUCUUGUAUUUUAAACUCAGUAGGUUUGUUUUUGACACAGGUGACCAGGAUUUUCUUCUCCACCUCCUCCACCGUGUACUGACAGUUGGGAGGCUUGUUAUGAGCAGGAUCAACUUUACACUCAACCAGUUUAAAGUUCUCUUU